CGGCAGACGGGUGAGUAAUGCAUGGGAAUCUACCCAGCUCUACGGAAUAACUCAGGGAAACUUGAACUAAUACCGUAUGCGCCCUUCGGGGGAAAGAUUUAUCGGAGUUGGAUGAGCCCAUGUCUGAUUAGCUAGUUGGUGGGGUAAAGGCCUACCAAGGCGACGAUCAGUAGCUGGUCUGAGAGGAUGAUCAGCCACACUGGGACUGAGACACGGCCCAGACUCCUACGGGAGGCAGCAGUGGGGAAUAUUGGACAAUGGGCGCAAGCCUGAUCCAGCCAUGCCGCGUGAGUGAUGAAGGCCCUAGGGUUGUAAAGCUCUUUCACCGGUGAAGAUAAUGACGGUAACCGGAGAAGAAGCCCCGGCUAACUUCGUGCCAGCAGCCGCGGUAAUACGAAGGGGGCUAGCGUUGUUCGGAAUUACUGGGCGUAAAGCGCGCGUAGGCGGAUCGGUCAGUUAGGGGUGAAAUCCCGGGGCUCAACCCCGGAACUGCCUCUAAUACUGCCGAUCUAGAGUUCGAGAGAGGUGAGUGGAAUUCCGAGUGUAGAGGUGAAAUUCGUAGAUAUUCGGAGGAACACCAGUGGCGAAAGCGGCUCACUGGCUCGAUACUGACGCU
RNAcentral lists this ribosomal RNA (616 nucleotides) under Nitratireductor aquibiodomus. RNAcentral's name for it is "bacterial SSU rRNA". It matches the Rfam family "Bacterial small subunit ribosomal RNA", at positions 96 to 747 of the family's 1533-position model. Lineage: Bacteria; Pseudomonadati; Pseudomonadota; Alphaproteobacteria; Hyphomicrobiales; Phyllobacteriaceae. The record is from RNAcentral.